This 73-nucleotide transfer RNA is filed under the name Ictidomys tridecemlineatus (thirteen-lined ground squirrel). RNAcentral describes it as "Spermophilus tridecemlineatus (thirteen-lined ground squirrel) tRNA". It matches the Rfam family "tRNA". From Rfam's summary of the family: Transfer RNA (tRNA) molecules are approximately 80 nucleotides in length. Their secondary structure includes four short double-helical elements and three loops (D, anti-codon, and T loops). The record is from Rfam by way of RNAcentral. Lineage: Eukaryota; Metazoa; Chordata; Mammalia; Rodentia; Sciuridae.
AGGGUUGUGGCUUAGUGGUAGAGCACUCAACUUAGCAUGUGUGAGGCCCUGGGUUCAAUCCCCUUCAAUCCCC